Molecule: non-coding RNA, 70 nt
Filed under: unclassified sequences
Description: Xanthine-I sequence
Rfam family: Xanthine riboswitch aptamer (NMT1 RNA)
About the family: Later it was reported as a ncRNA that recognised Xanthine.
Source: Rfam by way of RNAcentral
UGCAAGAGAAGAAGCGUUCAACCAAGCCGUGACAGGCAAGUCAGGGCUUCGGCGGGAAAUUGCUCUUACC